AGAGUUUGAUCAUGGCUCAGAGUGAACGCUAGCGGCGCGCCUAACACAUGCAAGUUGAGUGCCUUUAAAAGCACAGCAAACGGCUGCGUAACACGUUGGAACCUGCCCCGAACUCAGGGAUAACCCCGCGAAAGCGGGGCUAAUACCGGAUAGUCCCGAAAGGGUAAAGAUUUAUCGGUUCGGGAGGGGCCUGCGGCCUAUCAGCUAGUUGGUGAGGUAAUGGCUCACCAAGGCAAUGACGGGUAACUGGUCUGAGAGGACGACCAGUCAGAAUGGAACUGCGACACGGUCCAUACUCCUACGGGAGGCAGCAGUGAGGAAUCUUCCGCAAUGGACGAAAGUCUGACGGAGCGACGCCGCGUGGUGGAUGAAGGCCUUAACUGGUCGUAAACACCUGUUCUGAGGGACGAAAUUUUGACGGUACCUCAGAGAAAG
RNAcentral lists this ribosomal RNA (435 nucleotides) under uncultured Methylothermus sp. Its description in RNAcentral is "bacterial SSU rRNA". It matches the Rfam family "Bacterial small subunit ribosomal RNA", at positions 8 to 490 of the family's 1533-position model. The record is from RNAcentral. Lineage: Bacteria; Pseudomonadati; Pseudomonadota; Gammaproteobacteria; Methylococcales; Methylothermaceae.